GGCCUUUUGAUUUUAAUUUAAGGUCAGGCCUGCCCACUGAAGUUUUGAAUGGCCGCGGUAUUUUGACCGUGCAAAGGUAGCAUAAUCAUUAGUUUUUUAAUUAAAAGCUAGAAUGAAUGGUUUGAUAAAAAAAUAACUGUCUCAAAUUAAUUUAAUUAAAAUUUUAUUUUUAAGUUAAAAAGCUUAAAUUUUUUUAAAAGACGAGAAGACCCUAUAGAGUUUUAUAUUAGUUAUAUUAAAAAUUUAAGGAUUUUUAUAAUUUUUUUAUAUUUAAUAUUUAAUUGGGGUGAUUAUAAAAUUUAAUUAACUUUUAUUUUAUUAUUACAUAAAUUUAUGAUUAUUUGAUCCAUAAUUAAUGAUUAUAAGAUUAAAUUACCUUAGGGAUAACAGCAUAAUUUUUUUAGAGAGUUCUUAUCGAAAAAAGAGAUUGUGACCUCGAUGUUGGAUUAAAGUUAAUAUUUAAUGUAGAAGUUAAAAUAUUAGGUCUGUUCGACCUUUAAAACUUUACA
Molecule: ribosomal RNA, 509 nt
Filed under: Ogmoderes sp. CO907
Lineage: Eukaryota; Metazoa; Arthropoda; Insecta; Coleoptera; Bothrideridae
Description: partial 16S ribosomal RNA
Rfam family: Bacterial large subunit ribosomal RNA (bases 383-509)
Source: RNAcentral